RNAcentral lists this ribosomal RNA (274 nucleotides) under uncultured bacterium. Its description in RNAcentral is "partial 16S ribosomal RNA". It matches the Rfam family "Bacterial small subunit ribosomal RNA", at positions 523 to 796 of the family's 1533-position model. The record is from RNAcentral.
AUACGGAGGAUCCAAGCGUUAUCGGGAUUUAUUGGGUUUAAAGGGUGCGCAGGCGGCCUUAUAAGUCAGUGGUGAAAUCUCCCGGCUCAACCGGGAAACUGCCAUUGAUACUGUAAGGCUAGAAUACAGACGAGGUAGGCGGAAUGUAGCAUGUAGCGGUGAAAUGCUUAGAUAUGCUACAGAACACCGAUCGCGAAGGCAGCUUACCAGACUGCAAUUGACGCUAAGGCACGAAAGCGUGGGGAGCGAACAGGAUUAGAAACCCCAGUAGUCC